RNAcentral lists this ribosomal RNA (489 nucleotides) under uncultured bacterium. Its description in RNAcentral is "SSU rRNA". It matches the Rfam family "Bacterial small subunit ribosomal RNA", at positions 26 to 518 of the family's 1533-position model. The record is from RNAcentral.
AGGAUUAACGCUGGCGGCGUGCCUAGCACAUGCAAGUCGAACGAGGUAGCAAUACCUAGUGGCAGACGGGUGAGUAACGCGUGGUCAACCUACCUUCGAGUGGGGGAUAACUAGCCGAAAGGCUAGCUAAUACCGCAUAAUACCGUAGCCGGCAUCGGCAUCGGUUGAAAGCAGCAAUGCACUCGGAGACGGGACCGCGUCCGAUUAGUUAGUUGGUGGGGUAACGGCCUACCAAGACUCCGAUCGGUAGCUGGUUUGAGAGAACGACCAGCCACACUGGGACUGAGACACGGCCCAGACUCCUACGGGAGGCAGCAGUAGGGAAUCUUGCGCAAUGCGCGAAAGCGUGACGCAGCAACGCCGCGUGGGGGAAGAAGGCUCUCGGGUUGUAAACCCCUUUCAGUUGGGACGAAGCUUCGUCGGUUAAUAGCCGGCUGGAGUGACGGUACCUUCACAAGAAGCACCGGCUAACUACGUGCCAGCAGCCGC